Molecule: long non-coding RNA, 1361 nt
Organism: Cygnus olor (mute swan)
Lineage: Eukaryota; Metazoa; Chordata; Aves; Anseriformes; Anatidae
Exons: 3
Source: RefSeq, a predicted model, not a curated record
AGCUGCCCUUUGGGGUUAAGUGCUUUGUUUUUCCUUCAGCUAGUUGUAGGGUUCUUUAGGUGGGCUGAUGUGUUUCCAAGUUGAGAGAGUUUGUUCCUAUUUGUAAUGGAGUUAAGGGUAUGCUGGAAGGACAAAGUCAAAGAUGAAAAUUAUGUUAAAAUACACAGGUUCAUCAUGGCUGUGCUAGCAAAAUGGUUUUCUCCAUAAGCAAGGUAUCAACAGUGAUUGAGUUCAAACACCAGGAAAAGCUACAACAUUUAAAAUCUCCAUUGCAGAUUUGUUUGAAUAUGGGUAGGGAUGUAUAGGAUAGGCAGGUCUAAGUGGCAUAUCAGGCUGUAAAGAAAUACUUCGCUUCCUUGGACUUUAGGUGUAAGGUAUGAGCAUAAAAUUCCGGACUGCUGAAAUACUGCAGCUGCCUGCAGGGAAAUGCAAUGAGAACAUGUCAGGAUGCAGUUAUGGAUUCUCAGGGAAGACAAUGAUUUAGAGACUGCCAAGCCAUGUAAUGUGGUCAUUGCAUUCACCAGUCAAAUGCAGCCACAUCUGAGUAAAAACCAGCAGCUGCUUAACACUGCUGCACAGAGCUACACCUGCACAGUGCUCCUAGUCUCCAUGGGUGUGGAAUUUGAAGAUGAUAGAAAUGAAAUUAUCCACACUGAAAUUCAGCCAAGGCACUGAGUAUGGUAUCCUCACUCUGGCAGAACAAAAAUGAAAGUGCAUCUCUAGUGAUCCAAAGCUGCAAAGGCCUGAGUUUUUUGUCUUACUCACUUGGUACCACAUGCAGCCCUGUGCUGACACCCAUCACUGGUACAACCCUCAGCACCACUGUGAGCAUCCAAAAUAGCAUGUCCUUCCUCAUCUUGCAGUUAGCCAAGCGUGGAUGAAACAUUGCCUGCUUCACCACAUCCAGCAGCAUUAACACAUGGAAAGUCACAGCUGCAGGAGCUGCGUAUACCUUUGAAGGCCAGUAACACAGAGUUAUGCCAAUGAUACAGCAGAUAUCUGUUGAACAAGCAGGCGGCUGCUGCUAUUAUUUGUUACCACUCAUGGAAGAAUGAGCCUGGAGGCAGUGUGGCUUCAGCAUGCAGUAUGUAACUGCAGGCAGUUGUCCCACUGGAGACAAGAAGUCGUUUCAUGGGAAAAAAAUGGACUACAAAAAGGAUCAGAAAUUGAAGAAAAAAAUGAAUUAUUAAAACCUUGACUAGCUAGUGGUUGCACAAUGGAGAACAUAUAAAUGAUAAAAUAUCAAAUAAAGUCGUCUUCGUUGGUUUUGCAUUUGCAACAGAUUUUUCAAGCUUUUCGUUCUGUACAAAGUUUUUAUAUUGCAAUGAAAGUAGCAGAUAAAUAAUGAUUUAAAAUGUUUA